GAUGAACGCUGGCGGCGUGCCUAAUACAUGCAAGUCGAGCGAACAGACGAGGAGCUUGCUCCUCUGACGUUAGCGGCGGACGGGUGAGUAACACGUGGAUAACCUACCUAUAAGACUGGGAUAACUUCGGGAAACCGGAGCUAAUACCGGAUAAUAUAUUGAACCGCAUGGUCCAAUAGUGAAAGACGGUUUUGCUGUCACUUAUAGAUGGAUCCGCGCCGCAUUAGCUAGUUGGUAAGGUAACGGCUUACCAAGGCAACGAUGCGUAGCCGACCUGAGAGGGUGAUCGGCCACACUGGAACUGAGACACGGUCCAGACUCCUACGGGAGGCAGCAGUAGGGAAUCUUCCGCAAUGGGCGAAAGCUUGACGGAGCAACGCCGCGUGAGUGAUGAAGGUCUUCGGAUCGUAAAACUCUGUUAUUAGGGAAGAACAAAUGUGUAAGUAACUAUGCACGUCUUGACGGUACCUAAUCAGAAAGCCACGGCUAACUACGU
RNAcentral lists this ribosomal RNA (496 nucleotides) under uncultured bacterium. RNAcentral's name for it is "partial 16S ribosomal RNA". It matches the Rfam family "Bacterial small subunit ribosomal RNA", at positions 28 to 506 of the family's 1533-position model. The record is from RNAcentral.